ACUGAACGCUGGCGGAAUGCUUUACACAUGCAAGUCGAGCGGCAGCGCGGGGCAACCUGGCGGCGAGCGGCGAACGGGUGAGUAAUACAUCGGAACGUGCCCAGACGUGGGGGAUAACUACGCGAAAGAGUAGCUAAUACCGCAUAUGAUCUAAGGAUGAAAGCGGGGGAUCGCAAGACCUCGCGCGUUUGGAGCGGCCGAUGGCAGAUUAGGUAGUUGGUGGGGUAAAGGCUUACCAAGCCUGCGAUCUGUAGCUGGUCUGGGAGGACGACCAGCCACACUGGGACUGAGACACGGCCCAGACUCCUACGGGAGGCAGCAGUGGGGAAUUUUGGACAAUGGGCGAAAGCCUGAUCCAGCCAUUCCGCGUGCAGGAUGAAGGCCCUCGGGCUGUAAACUGCUUUUGUACAGAACGAAAAAGCUCUGGUUAAUACCUGGAGUCCAUGACGGUACUGUAAGAAUAAGCACCGGCUAACUACGUGCCAGCCGCCGCGGUAA
Molecule: ribosomal RNA, 498 nt
Filed under: uncultured bacterium
Lineage: Bacteria
Description: partial 16S ribosomal RNA
Rfam family: Bacterial small subunit ribosomal RNA
Source: RNAcentral